Molecule: long non-coding RNA, 366 nt
Filed under: Neodiprion pinetum (white pine sawfly)
Lineage: Eukaryota; Metazoa; Arthropoda; Insecta; Hymenoptera; Diprionidae
Description: uncharacterized LOC124214053
Source: RNAcentral
CGAGGAAGACGAGGAGAACAAGGUGGACGAGGAGGACGAGGAUUUGUGCACUCGGUGAAGGGGAAAUCUUCGAAAGACAUCCGGAUGUUCUUGGAUGUCGUCGGAUAGUGCCGGAUUCUUACCGGCUAAAACCCCUCCACCGCUCCUCGGCCAGUACGGAGCGGACCCGCACUCGCAUUACUGCACUUCGUCCCUGUGGCCGACCGUUCUCUUGGCCUCUCUCUCCCGCUUACCACGACAUGGCGUUGACCAUCUCGGCCAGACUGUCGCGCCUCGGUCAGCUUUCCCUUUCCUCCACUUUACUUGCCUCAGUACAACCCGAGGUGGUUAUCGGUGGUUGUUCGAGGUGGUUGGCGAUUGUUGGAG